UACGUAGGGUGCGAGCGUUAAUCGGAAUUACUGGGCGUAAAGCGUGCGCAGGCGGCUUUGCAAGACAGAUGUGAAAUCCCCGGGCUCAACCUGGGAACUGCAUUUGUGACUGCAAGGCUAGAGUACGGCAGAGGGGGAUGGAAUUCCGCGUGUAGCAGUGAAAUGCGUAGAUAUGCGGAGGAACACCAAUAGCGAAGGCAAUCCCCUGGGCCUGUACUGACGCUCAUGCACGAAAGCGUGGGGAGCAAACAGG
This 253-nucleotide ribosomal RNA is filed under the name uncultured bacterium. RNAcentral describes it as "partial 16S ribosomal RNA". It matches the Rfam family "Bacterial small subunit ribosomal RNA", at positions 524 to 776 of the family's 1533-position model. The record is from RNAcentral.